GGGGGUGAACGGUUUCGACUCUGGACGUUGAGUCAAGGGAAGCGUGCCGGUGCAGGCGAGAGACCACCGUAAGCGUCGCCGCAACCAAUUAAGCGCCAAGACUAAUAGUCAGCGCGACUUCGCCCUCGCCGCCUGAGCGAGUGCGAGUCUGUCGGCCCGGGAGAGCCUCCGUCCCGGUAGCCGGCAUCAGCUAGGAGGCUCACUGUCCGGACCCGGCCGCGGGGUCCGGACGGGACACCCACAGCGGCUGGGCCCGUCACACCGGCUUGUUCGCGUGACCGGUGGGGCCGAGUAGAGGCACAGCGAACUGCGCACGGAGAAGCCUAGGCAAGGCGCCAGAGGACCCGGGUUCAAUUCCCGGCACCUCCACUC
This 372-nucleotide transfer-messenger RNA is filed under the name Amycolatopsis endophytica. RNAcentral's name for it is "Standard tmRNA". It matches the Rfam family "transfer-messenger RNA". Rfam says of the family: Bacterial tmRNA, also known as 10Sa RNA or SsrA, is named for its dual tRNA and mRNA-like properties. Its role is to liberate the mRNA from a stalled ribosome. The record is from Rfam by way of RNAcentral. Lineage: Bacteria; Bacillati; Actinomycetota; Actinomycetes; Pseudonocardiales; Pseudonocardiaceae.